This 237-nucleotide unclassified non-coding RNA is filed under the name plant metagenome. Its description in RNAcentral is "partial contains small subunit ribosomal RNA, internal transcribed spacer 1, and 5.8S ribosomal RNA". The record is from RNAcentral.
UCUCCGUUGGUGAACCAGCGGAGGGAUCAUUACCGAGUUUACAACUCCCAAACCCCAUGUGAACCUUACCAAACGUUGCUCCGGCGGGAUGCCCCGGGCGCGGGCCGCAAGGCCUCAGCCCCGGAACCAGGCGCCCGCCGGAGGCCCAAACCAAACUCUUGUUUUUGUAGAAUCUUCUGAGUGGCCUUUUAGGCAAAAAAUGAAUCAAAACUUUCAACAACGGAUCUCUUGGUUCUG